GAGGGGAACCCCGCACAAGCGGUGGAUGAUGUGGAUUAAUUCGAUGCAACGCGAAGAACCUUACCUACCCUUGACAUGUCCGGAACUUGCCAGAGAUGGCUUGGUGCCCGAAAGGGAAUCGGAACACAGGUGCUGCAUGGCUGUCGUCAGCUCGUGUCGUGAGAUGUUGGGUUAAGUCCCGCAACGAGCGCAACCCUUAUCAUUAGUUGCUACGCAAGGGCACUCUAAUGAGACUGCCGGUGACAAACCGGAGGAAGUGGGGAUGACGUCAAGUCCUCAUGGCCCUUAUGGGUAGGGCUUCACACGUCAUACAAUGGUCGGUACAGAGGGUUGCCAAGCCGCGAGGCGGAGCCAAUCCCACAAAGCCGAUCGUAGUCCGGAUUGUUCUCUGCAACUCGAGAGCAUGAAGUCGGAAUCGCUAGUAAUCGCAGGUCAGCAUACUGCGGUGAAUACGUUCCCGGGUCUU
Molecule: ribosomal RNA, 466 nt
Filed under: uncultured Thiobacillus sp.
Lineage: Bacteria; Pseudomonadati; Pseudomonadota; Betaproteobacteria; Nitrosomonadales; Thiobacillaceae
Description: bacterial SSU rRNA
Rfam family: Bacterial small subunit ribosomal RNA
Source: RNAcentral